GGUCAGAUCGCCAAGAGGUUGAAGGCAUCGGUCUGCAAAACCGACAUCGUGGGUUCGACUCCCACUCUGACCU
This 73-nucleotide transfer RNA is filed under the name Lusitaniella coriacea LEGE 07167. Its description in RNAcentral is "tRNA-Cys". It matches the Rfam family "tRNA". Rfam says of the family: Transfer RNA (tRNA) molecules are approximately 80 nucleotides in length. Their secondary structure includes four short double-helical elements and three loops (D, anti-codon, and T loops). Lineage: Bacteria; Bacillati; Cyanobacteriota; Cyanophyceae; Spirulinales; Lusitaniellaceae. RNAcentral also lists the same sequence under 1 other name. The record is from RNAcentral.